Molecule: transfer RNA, 74 nt
Filed under: Humitalea rosea
Lineage: Bacteria; Pseudomonadati; Pseudomonadota; Alphaproteobacteria; Acetobacterales; Roseomonadaceae
Description: Acetobacteraceae bacterium W37 tRNA
Rfam family: tRNA
About the family: Transfer RNA (tRNA) molecules are approximately 80 nucleotides in length.
Source: Rfam by way of RNAcentral
GCGCCCGUAGCUCAACUGGAUAGAGCGCUAGACUACGGAUCUGGAGGUUGGGAGUUCGAACCUUCCCGGGCGCG